UCACCACAGGAUCUUACAACUCAUGCUCGGAUUUUAGAGAACAACAAGCAAUGGGAUGGGGAGAAGUGCAUCAUCUUGACUUGCAGUUUCACUCCAGGAUCAUGCUCAUUAACUGCAUAUAAGCUUACCCCAAGUGGGUAUGAGUGGGGACGUGUCAACAAGGACACUGGAAGCAACCCUCAUGGUUACUUGCCAACUCAUUAUGAGAAGGUCCAGAUGCUAUUGAGUGAUCGUUUCCUUGGUUUCUAUAUGAUUCCUGAUAAUGGCCCAUGGAACUACAACUUCAUGGGAGUGAAACACACAGUGAGCAUGAAAUACGGAAUCAAGCUGGGGACACCACGGGAGUAUUA
Molecule: unclassified non-coding RNA, 350 nt
Filed under: Hevea brasiliensis (rubber tree)
Lineage: Eukaryota; Viridiplantae; Streptophyta; Magnoliopsida; Malpighiales; Euphorbiaceae
Source: RNAcentral